This 614-nucleotide ribosomal RNA is filed under the name uncultured bacterium. RNAcentral's name for it is "bacterial SSU rRNA". It matches the Rfam family "Bacterial small subunit ribosomal RNA", at positions 338 to 954 of the family's 1533-position model. The record is from RNAcentral.
CCUACGGGAGGCAGCAGUGAGGAAUAUUGGACAAUGGGCGCAAGCCUGAUCCAGCCAUGCCGCGUGCAGGAAGACGCAUCUAUGGUGUGUAAACUGCUUUUGUACGGGAAGAAACACUCCCUCGUGAGGGAGCUUGACGGUACCGUAAGAAUAAGGAUCGGCUAACUCCGUGCCAGCAGCCGCGGUAAUACGGAGGAUCCAAGCGUUAUCCGGAAUCAUUGGGUUUAAAGGGUCCGUAGGCGGUUUAAUAAGUCAGUGGUGAAAGCCCAUCGCUCAACGAUGGAACGGCCAUUGAUACUGUUAGACUUGAAUUACUAGGAAGUAACUAGAAUAUGUAGUGUAGCGGUGAAAUGCUUAGAUAUUACAUGGAAUACCAAUUGCGAAGGCAGGUUACUACUAGUGGAUUGACGCUGAUGGACGAAAGCGUGGGGAGCGAACAGGAUUAGAUACCCUGGUAGUCCACGCCGUAAACGAUGGAUACUAGCUGUUGGGCGCAAGUUCAGUGGCUAAGCGAAGUGAUAGUACUCCGACCGUGGGGAGUACGUUCGCAAGUAUUAGAAACGUUAAAGGAAUUGUAGGNGNGNGAGNGCGACGGACGACGACGAGGGAGGAGG